ACACGACUACAUUAGAUACCCCUGUAGUCCUGGCCGUAAACGAUACUCGCUAGGUGUCGGCCACGGUGCGACCGUUGUCGGUGCCGUAGGGAAGCCGUGAAGCGAGCCACCUGGGAAGUACGGCCCCAAGGCUGAAACUUAAAGGAAUUGGCGGGGGAGCACAACAACGGGUGGAGCUUGCGGUUUAAUUGGAUUCAACGCCGGAAAUCUUACCGGGACCGACAGCAACAUGAAGGCCAAGCUGAAGACUUUGCCGGAUUAGCUG
Molecule: ribosomal RNA, 265 nt
Filed under: uncultured archaeon
Lineage: Archaea
Description: partial 16S ribosomal RNA
Rfam family: Archaeal small subunit ribosomal RNA
Source: RNAcentral